RNAcentral lists this ribosomal RNA (497 nucleotides) under uncultured bacterium. RNAcentral's name for it is "partial 16S ribosomal RNA". It matches the Rfam family "Bacterial small subunit ribosomal RNA", at positions 28 to 507 of the family's 1533-position model. The record is from RNAcentral.
GAUGAACGCUGGCGGCGUGCCUAAUACAUGCAAGUCGAGCGAACAGAUGAGGAGCUUGCUCCUCUGACGUUAGCGGCGGACGGGUGAGUAACACGUGGAUAACCUACCUAUAAGACUGGGAUAACUUCGGGAAACCGGAGCUAAUACCGGAUAAUAUAUUGAACCGCAUGGUUCAAUAGUGAAAGACGGUUUUGCUGUCACUUAUAGAUGGAUCCGCGCCGCAUUAGCUAGUUGGUAAGGUAACGGCUUACCAAGGCAACGAUGCGUAGCCGACCUGAGAGGGUGAUCGGCCACACUGGAGCUGAGACACGGUCCAGACUCCUACGGGAGGCAGCAGUAGGGAAUCUUCCGCAAUGGGCGAAAGCCUGACGGAGCAACGCCGCGUGAGUGAUGAAGGUCUUCGGAUCGUAAAACUCCGUUAUUAGGGAAGAACAAAUGUGUAAGUAACUAUGCACGUCUUGACGGUACCUAAUCAGAAAGCCGCGGCUAACUACGUG